This 198-nucleotide ribosomal RNA is filed under the name uncultured bacterium. RNAcentral's name for it is "partial 16S ribosomal RNA". It matches the Rfam family "Bacterial small subunit ribosomal RNA", at positions 1303 to 1500 of the family's 1533-position model. The record is from RNAcentral.
GUCUGCAACCCGACUACAUGAAGCUGGAAUCGCUAGUAAUCGCGAAUCAGAAUGUCGCGGUGAAUACGUUCCCGGGUCUUGUACACACCGCCCGUCACACCAUGGGAGUCGGAAAUGCCCGAAGUCAGUGACCCAACCGUAAGGAGGGAGCUGCCGAAGGUGGAGCCGGUAACUGGGGUGAAGUCGUAACAAGGUAAC